CCAGUGGUAUGGUGGAAAAGGCUGUGACGGUGGUGGUGAGGGCGGUUCUAAUGUCAGAUGCUAAUUGGAAUCAGGAGCCUCUUCACACAUUUUGGGUAUCUUUCAGGACUUUUUGUGUUCUCUUCUCCGACAGAAUGAUCACAGCCUUCCCAAAUGGUGAAUGCAUAGAUAAAAACCUGUCUGAAGUACAUCUAAGCACAGAGGAUAAUAGAGCUGGUCCUGAGGCUCAGAUGGUCGGGGCUGCUACCCUGGAGACAGCAUCACCACACGAGUCCUAACCAGGAGACCAAGAGGAACAAAGGACGUGAGCCGCAGUGAGCCACGCGCCCCCUCUGGUCGUUGUCUGCCUGGUUGUUGAACGACUUGGCUACCGUUAGAUUCCCCAACAGCAAGAAGUGAGCUCAGGAGAAAUGCAGCCUCUUCGAGGGCGGUGCGCCCCCUCAUCUCCGGUCCCUCCCUGGGCGCUCAACACGUAAGCCUCAGCCUCUGGCAUUCCUGCUCUGCAAAGUGCAUCUGUAAGAUGAAUGUCUCGUGGUGGCCCGUAGAAGAAACAUUUUGAGUCAGA
Long non-coding RNA from Felis catus (domestic cat), 565 nucleotides. RefSeq lists it as uncharacterized. NCBI's taxonomy places the organism in Eukaryota, Metazoa, Chordata, Mammalia, Carnivora, Felidae. The transcript is spliced from 3 exons. The record is from RefSeq and is a predicted model, not a curated record.